UACGGGGGGGGCGAGCGUUGUCCGGAUUUACUGGGCGUAAAGCGCGUGUAGGCGGCGAUUUAAGUCCGGGGUGAAAGGCGGGGGCUCAACCCCCGAGCGGCAACGGAAACUGGAUCGCUUGAGUGUCGGAGAGGGGAGUGGAAUUCUCGGUGUAGCGGUGAAAUGCGUAGAGAUCGAGAGGAACACCCGUGGCGAAGGCGGCUCCCUGGCCGAACACUGACGCUGAGACGCGAAAGCGCGGGGAGCGAACGGGAUUAGAUACCCCGGUAGUCCGCGCCGUAAACGAUGGUCACUAGGUGUACGCGGUAUCGACCCCGCGUGUGCCGCAGCUAACGCAAUAAGUGACCCGCCUGGGGAGUACGGCCGCAAGGUUGAA
RNAcentral lists this ribosomal RNA (376 nucleotides) under uncultured bacterium. RNAcentral's name for it is "bacterial SSU rRNA". It matches the Rfam family "Bacterial small subunit ribosomal RNA", at positions 524 to 898 of the family's 1533-position model. The record is from RNAcentral.